This is a long non-coding RNA of Carassius auratus (goldfish), 1101 nucleotides long. RefSeq lists it as uncharacterized. NCBI's taxonomy places the organism in Eukaryota, Metazoa, Chordata, Actinopteri, Cypriniformes, Cyprinidae. The transcript has 4 exons. The record is from RefSeq and is a predicted model, not a curated record.
GCUAGGUCUACUAUUAAAGGAGGGAGUACACUUCUUUCCCCACAGAUUAAAUGUUGAAGUGCUCUGCUGGAUUUAGACGAAAAGUGUGUUUCUGUGGACAUUGCUUUAAUCUUGGAUCUUAGAGCUAAUAAUACGGUGCUUAUUCAAAAGAAGGGAACAUUAGAAGAGACAAAUGGAGAGGAGGAGGGAUGAACAUUCACAAGCCAGCGGAUCAAAACCAGCAAAUGUGGAGAAUCUUGUUAAAAGGAGGAGUAUGAGUCAACCUCCUCUGGAUCUGAAAUUCUCUCAUGAUGCAGACAGACCAGAGAGUUAUCUCGAUGUAUCAGAAUCAAAGACGAGCAGAUCAUCUGAGCACCAACCAGACAAAACUCUGUGAAUCUCUUACAUUUCUUCAGAUGGAGCUGAAAUAGUUAAUUGUUUCCAGUCCUGGCUUUAUCCAAUCAGGAGCUUCUUCAGCAGCUUGGGUUCAGAAAUCCACCUUUAUGUAGAAAGUAGAAAGUAUGUAAGUCUUGCCAGUUUACUCUUAACUGUAAAGGAGUUUUCCAUAUUGAUUUUUUUACAGGUGUUUUAUUUUCCGUUGUUGUUUUUGUUGUUUAACAGUGUUUUCUGUGUUUUCUGUGCACACACAGUGAGCACAAAUCAGACAUUACUGAACUGAUCUUAACUGAGUUACAAUAAAAUGUCUUGAAUGUAACUAGUUGGGAGAAAAACCAGAGACAACAGCUAUAUACUUAUAAACCUGUUGCUGUCUUGUGUCAUUAAUGUUUAGUGAAAAAAAAAAAAAACGCUUUUUCAUCAAUCUUGACUUAACUUCUUUACACCUUUAAUAAGGAUUAAGCUAUAUUUAAUUUAUCGUUGUAGUAUUUCAUACCUGAAUGCUGGACAGUAUCUUUCAUUUGUAUCCUUGUUCAUUUGUAUUUGCACUAUCGCUCAUAAUUUGGUUAUAAAUUAUUUUAUUUUAAUGCCCAGGGAAUGUUCAUUGGUCCUACCUUACAUAAAAUCAAAUAUAUUGUGUAUAUGUAAAGAUUGUGUAUACUGUAUGUACUGUAUGUUUUUUUAAUAUGAUUCUGCCAAAAAUAAACUAUCAUCAUCAUUUGCUCA